Molecule: ribosomal RNA, 253 nt
Filed under: uncultured bacterium
Lineage: Bacteria
Description: partial 16S ribosomal RNA
Rfam family: Bacterial small subunit ribosomal RNA
Source: RNAcentral
UACGGAGGGUGCAAGCGUUGUCCGGAAUUAUUGGGUGUAAAGGGUGCGCAGGCGUCCCGGCAGGUUUUCGGUGAAAUCCUCCCGCUUAACGGGAGAAGGGCCGGAAAAACCGCUGGGAUUGAGUCCGGAAGAGGUUGGUGGAAUUCGUGGUGUAGCGGUGAAAUGCAUAGAGAUCACGAAGAACACCGGUGGCGAAGGCGGCCAACUGGUCCGGUACUGACGCUGAGGCACGAGAGCGUGGGGAGCGAACAGG